GGUAGUCCACGCCGUAAACGAUGUCGACUUGGAGGUUGUGCCCUUGAGGCGUGGCUUCCGGAGCUAACGCGUUAAGUCGACCGCCUGGGGAGUACGGCCGCAAGGUUAAAACUCAAAUGAAUUGACGGGGGCCCGCACAAGCGGUGGAGCAUGUGGUUUAAUUCGAUGCAACGCGAAGAACCUUACCUACUCUUGACAUCCAGAGAACUUAGCAGAGAUGCUUUGGUGCCUUCGGGAACUCUGAGACAGGUGCUGCAUGGCUGUCGUCAGCUCGGGUUGUGAAAUGUUGGGUUAAGUCCCGCAACGAGCGCAACCCUUAUCCUUUGUUGCCAGCGGUUAGGCCGGGAACUCAAAGGAGACUGCCAGUGAUAAACUGGAGGAAGGUGGGGAUGACGUCAAGUCAUCAUGGCCCUUACGAGUAGGGCUACACACGUGCUACAAUGGCGCAUACAAAGAGAAGCGACCUCGCGAGAGCAAGCGGACCUCAUAAAGUGCGUCGUAGUCCGGAUUGGAGUCUGCAACUCGACUCCAUGAAGUCGGAAUCGCUAGUAAUCGUAGAUCAGAAUGCUACGGUGAAUACGUUCCCGGGCCUUGUACACACCGCCCGUCACACCAUGGGAGUGGGUUGCAAAAGAAGUAGGUAGCUUAACCUUCGGGAGGGCGCUUACCACUUUGUGAUUCAUGACUGGGGUGAAGUCGUAACAAGGUAACCGUAGGGGAACCUGC
Molecule: ribosomal RNA, 726 nt
Filed under: uncultured bacterium
Lineage: Bacteria
Description: bacterial SSU rRNA
Rfam family: Bacterial small subunit ribosomal RNA
Source: RNAcentral